Eurypyga helias (sunbittern) is the source of this 1171-nucleotide RNA transcript. It is a transcript of the gene named protocadherin-8 pseudogene, with no coding region annotated. Lineage: Eukaryota; Metazoa; Chordata; Aves; Eurypygiformes; Eurypygidae. The transcript has a single exon. The record is from RefSeq and is a predicted model, not a curated record.
UGGACCGUGAGCGCAUCCCUGAGUACAACCUCACCGUGGUGGCCGAGGACCUGGGCUCACCGCCCUUCAAGACCGUCCGCCAGUACACAGUGCGGGUGAGUGAUGAGAAUGACAAUGCACCACUCUUUGCCAAGCCCCUCUACGAGGUGGCCGUGCCAGAGAAUAACCCUCCGGGUGCCUACAUCACCACCGUGGUGGCCCGCGACCCCGAUCUUGGCCACAAUGGUAAGGUCACCUACCGUCUCCUGGAGACACAAGUCAUGGGGGCACCCAUCUCCACCUAUGUCUCGGUGGACCCCGCCACUGGGGCCAUCUAUGCCCUCAGAACGUUCAACUAUGAGAUCCUCAAGCAGUUGGACCUGAGGAUCCAGGCCACUGAUGGUGGAUCCCCUCAGCUCUCCAGCAGCACCCUUGUCAAAGUGAGGAUGGUGGACCAGAAUGACAACCCUCCCGUCAUCAUCCACCCGGUGCUCACCAAUGGGACAGUGGAAAUCGGCGUGUCCAGCAAGACAUCCCGCGACUCCCUGGUGGCCCAAAUCAAAGCUCGAGAUGCAGAUGACGGGGCCAACGCCGAGGUCACCUUUGCCUUCCUGGAGGAGCCCCAGCAGGACCUUUUCACCAUCAACCCAACUACUGGGGACAUUGUGCUGAGGGGCGACCUCUCUGAAGAGCUGGGGCAGCUGUUCAAGGUCAUCCUCACGGUGACAGACAACGACCCCCCCUGGCCACGACCGCCACAGUCAACUUCCUGGUGACUGCCACUGCUCCUUCUAGUAUCCAGGAGGUAGCCAAGCCCAGCUCCUGGGAAGGAAAGGCUUUGCAGUGGGACAUCCCUCUGAUCGUGAUCAUCGUCCUGGCGGGCAGCUGCACCCUCCUCUUGGUGGCUAUAAUCACCAUCGCCACCACCUGCAACAGGCGCAAGAAGGUCAACGAGAAGAAAAGCAACGCUUCCUUGAAGGAGCAGAUAGACAUCUCCCACCUGGAGAAGGGCCGGCAGGAGGAAGGCAGCCAGAGGGGGAACGUGUUUGAGGUACGAACCUUUCCCAGCAAAACCUCUUUCACCAGCCCCGACCCUUCUCCUGCUGCCGAAGAGAUCUCCGCCGCUGAGAGCGGCAGCGACAGCGCUUGCCUCUACGAGGGUCAGAAGAGGCUCAGAGGACCGAGCGGGGAG